RNAcentral lists this ribosomal RNA (497 nucleotides) under uncultured bacterium. Its description in RNAcentral is "partial 16S ribosomal RNA". It matches the Rfam family "Bacterial small subunit ribosomal RNA", at positions 28 to 507 of the family's 1533-position model. The record is from RNAcentral.
GAUGAACGCUGGCGGCGUGCCUAAUACAUGCAAGUCGAGCGAACAGAUGAGGAGCUUGCUCCUCUGACGUUAGCGGCGGACGGGUGAGUAAAACGUGGAUAACCUACCUAUAAGACUGGGAUAACUUCGGGAAACCGGAGCUAAUACCGGAUAAUAUAUUGAACCGCAUGGUUCAAUAGUGAAAGACGGUUUUGCUGUCACUUAUAGAUGGAUCCGCGCCGCAUUAGCUAGUUGGUAAGGUAACGGCUUACCAAGGCAACGAUGCGUAGCCGACCUGAGAGGGUGAUCGGCCACACUGGAACUGAGACACGGUCCAGACUCCUACGGGAGGCAGCAGUAGGGAAUCUUCCGCAAUGGGCGAAAGCCUGACGGAGCCACGCCGCGUGAGUGAUGAAGGUCUUCGGAUCGUAAAGCUCUGUUAUUAGGGAAGAACAAAUGUGUAAGUAACUAUGCACGUCUUGACGGUACCUGAUCAGAAAGCCACGGCUAACUACGUG